AGGCUAGGCUCGUCCGUAGCAAACGGAUUGCUUCGCUUCUGCCCAUGCCCAAUUUUCUUCUUCUUCGUCUUCGUCUUCUUCACUCCAACGUCAUUCGUUUCACCAGCGAAGCUACGAGCUUGAGUAGUAUAAACAGAGCCGCUCACGAACGUACCCGAUUCGAUCCGUUCUCUCAGGAACCGAACUUCCUCGAGCUCCGAAUUGAGACGCUUCUUCAGCUCCCUGAGCUGAUUCGAGGUGUACCCAUCAAGAUCAAAGGAAACGUAGUCUCCAUAAGCUGACGAAUCAUCGAAAUGCUUGCUCGAAUUGUUCC
RNAcentral lists this small RNA (313 nucleotides) under Arabidopsis thaliana (thale cress). RNAcentral's name for it is "ATSL246230". Lineage: Eukaryota; Viridiplantae; Streptophyta; Magnoliopsida; Brassicales; Brassicaceae. The record is from RNAcentral.